UGAGAACUGAAUUCCAUAGGCCGUGAGCUCUAGCAAAUGCCCUGGGGACUCAGUUCUGGU
Oryctolagus cuniculus (rabbit) is the source of this 60-nucleotide microRNA precursor. Ensembl annotates it as ocu-mir-146b. Its record names the gene ocu-mir-146b. The record is from Ensembl. NCBI's taxonomy places the organism in Eukaryota, Metazoa, Chordata, Mammalia, Lagomorpha, Leporidae.